UGUUCAGGAGGACAUACUCUACAACCAUGUUGGGUUUCAUCAAAAUCAGUGGAUUCCACUUCGCAAUCUCUCCUUGUAAACCAAAUGCAAGUAUUGCCCAACUUUCAGAAAUAAUUAGGAUUGAAGGGUUUUGUGGAAGUUGGAAAAAUCAUUUUUUAACAAUAAUUCUGAAACAAAUUACUGAAGCUAGUGGACUAUUAUGUUUCCACCUAUACCAUAUUAUGACACCAUAUUACUCUGACUGAAGCAAGUUAAUGCUGCAUGGUAAAAUAUUGUACAGGAAUACCUCACUUAAUACUGUUAAUUGGUUCCUCUAAAAUACUGCUUUAAAUGAAUCUGCACUGAGUGAAACAUUAUUUCU
Molecule: long non-coding RNA, 361 nt
Filed under: Androctonus crassicauda
Lineage: Eukaryota; Metazoa; Arthropoda; Arachnida; Scorpiones; Buthidae
Source: RNAcentral